RNAcentral lists this long non-coding RNA (589 nucleotides) under Homo sapiens (human). RNAcentral's name for it is "LHRI_LNC752.1". The record is from RNAcentral. Lineage: Eukaryota; Metazoa; Chordata; Mammalia; Primates; Hominidae.
GGCUCACCACAUGCCCGGGACAGGGGCAGACCCAGAGGCCAGCCCAGCCCUCCUUCCUGUUCCCCUGGCCCACUUCCUCUCCUGUGAAGGCUUCGCUGGCUCGGCUGGCGCCUUCUGGCCUCCCUCUUCCUCCCUUUUCAGCCCCUGGGUCUUCUCAGUGUUUUCAAACUCAAUCAGACAUUGAGGUAGGGGAGUCACAUGGCAGAAGUUGGUGGCCAGAGCAGGGAGCCCCCUGAGCUGUGGGAGACGGAGGCAUUCACUCGACUGGAGCCACCCAUGUCACACCAGCAGCCAGCCUGGGGCGGGGGAUGCCAGACUCCAUCCUGCCCUGUAGCAUGGAGGUGGUGGGGACACAACUGACUCCCAGCCCCUUAAUAUCCAAGCUGAGGGCCAUGGCCAGAGAAAACGAAAGAGCCUGGCCUGGGCGUCAGGAAGCCUGGGUCCCAGGCCAGCUCCUCCUCACUCAGGCUGUGUGACGUUGGGCAAACCCCCUGCCCUCUCUGGUCCUGAUGCAUGGUUACAAGGAGGGCCUGGACUCGAUGCUGCCCAAAGGGAUCAGCAGCCUGGGCAAGCCCCUUCCUGGCCCCAG